GCUCGUGUCGUGAGAUGUACGGUUAAGUCCGUGAACGAGCGCAACCCCUGCCCUUAGUUGCUAAUAUGCGAAAGCAUAUGCACUCUAAGGGGACCGCCAGCGGAAAGCUGGAGGAAGGUGGGAUGACGUCAAAUCCUCAUGGCCUUUAUGUCCAGGGCUACACACAUGCGACAAUGGUCGAGACAACGCGUUGCAAACCAGUAAUGGUAAGCUAAUCGCAUAAAAUCGACCUCAGUACGGAUUGAGGGUUGCAAUUCACCCUCAUGAAGCUGGAGUUGCUAGUAACCGCAGGUCAGCUAUACUGCGAUGAAUACGUUCCCGGGGCUU
RNAcentral lists this ribosomal RNA (327 nucleotides) under uncultured Caldisericum sp. RNAcentral describes it as "bacterial SSU rRNA". It matches the Rfam family "Bacterial small subunit ribosomal RNA", at positions 1058 to 1382 of the family's 1533-position model. The record is from RNAcentral. Lineage: Bacteria; Pseudomonadati; Caldisericota; Caldisericia; Caldisericales; Caldisericaceae.